This 503-nucleotide ribosomal RNA is filed under the name uncultured bacterium. RNAcentral's name for it is "partial 16S ribosomal RNA". It matches the Rfam family "Bacterial small subunit ribosomal RNA", at positions 30 to 523 of the family's 1533-position model. The record is from RNAcentral.
AUUGAACGCUGGCGGCAGGCUUAACACGUGCAAGUCGAGCGGGGUGAUGGUGCUUGCACUAUCACUUAGCGGCGGACGGGUGAGUAAUGCUUAGGAAUCUGCCUAUUAGUGGGGGACAACAUCUCGAAAGGGAUGCUAAUACCGCAUACGUCAUACGGGAGAAAGCAGGGGAUCACUUGUGACCUUGCGCUAAUAGAUGAGCGUAAGUCGGAUUAGCUAGUUGGUGGGGUAAAGGCCUACCAAGGCGACGAUCUGUAGCGGGUCUGAGAGGAUGAUCCGCCACACUGGGACUGAGACACGGCCCAGACUCCUACGGGAGGCAGCAGUGGGGAAUAUUGGACAAUGGGGGGAACCCUGAUCCAGCCAUGCCGCGUGUGUGAAGAAGGCCUUAUGGUUGUAAAGCACUUUAAGCGAGGAGGAGGCUCUUUUGGUUAAUACCCAAGAUGAGUGGACGUUACUCGCAGAAUAAGCACCGGCUAACUCUGUGCCAGCCGCCGCAGUAA